This 256-nucleotide ribosomal RNA is filed under the name uncultured bacterium. RNAcentral describes it as "partial 16S ribosomal RNA". It matches the Rfam family "Bacterial small subunit ribosomal RNA", at positions 524 to 776 of the family's 1533-position model. The record is from RNAcentral.
UACGUAGGGUGCAAGCGUUGUCCGGAAUUAUUGGGCGUAAAGAGCUCGUAGGCGGUUUGUCGCGUCGGCUGUGAAAACCUGGGGCUCAACCCCGGGCCUGCAGCCGAUACGGGCAAACUAGAAUUCGGUAGGGGAGACUAGGAAUUCCUGGUGUAGUGGUGGAAUGCGUAGAUAUCAAGAGGAAUACCAGUGGCGAAAGCGGCACCCUAGCAAUUUUUUCUGACGCUCAUGUGCGAAAGCGUGGGGAGCGAACGGG